RNAcentral lists this ribosomal RNA (274 nucleotides) under uncultured bacterium. RNAcentral describes it as "partial 16S ribosomal RNA". It matches the Rfam family "Bacterial small subunit ribosomal RNA", at positions 523 to 796 of the family's 1533-position model. The record is from RNAcentral.
AUACGGAGGGUGCGAGCGUUAAUCGGAAUUACUGGGCGUAAAGCGUGCGUAGGCGGUUUGUUAAGUCAGAAGUGAAAGCCCUGGGCUCAACCUGGGAACGGCUUUUGAGACUGGCAGACUAGAGUUGAGUAGAGGGGAGUGGAAUUUCCGGUGUAGCGGUGAAAUGCGUAGAGAUCGGAAGGAACACCAGUGGCGAAGGCGACUCCCUGGACUCAAACUGACGCUGAGGUACGAAAGCGUGGGUAGCAAACAGGAUUAGAUACCCUAGUAGUCC